CAGCAAACAGCCUACGUUGCUCGUCUGCUUUGUCCUGAACGCAGCGACUACUCCGUCUUUGAUCUGCCGCCAGCAGAGCCAACCCGCCCGGCCGCCCGGAGCCACCGCCGGACCGCCCUGACGCCAAGCGGCCAGCCAGCCCCCUCGCCGCCCGGCCGGCUGCUACCCGAACUGCCGGAGCCGCCCAAUCCGCUCAGGUGCUAAGCCCGUCAGCUUCUUCCGAGAGAGCAGCUUCUCUAGUCCUUCGCGCUCCUUGGGUUCACGGGAGUCGGGAGACUGGACGCGUGCAGCAGCCCCGAUUUCAGUUUAUCCCGAGACUGAAGUCAGAAUUAUUGAAGAAUGAAGAGGACCACGGACAUUCAAAAAACGAGGACCACCCUGAUUUUAAAUCCUAGCUCCGCCACUGUAGGUUGCACAUCUUCUGCUUCGCCAUCUCUCUCCCCUAUCUUUUACCCCUUGAUUUCCCUUGUUCUUUGAUAAUAUGAUUUUAGUUUCUUGAUUUAUGUGUGAAGAUUGUAUGAAGAAUACAAGAGGAAGGACCUUGAGGAAGACUGAAGAACAAGUUUAUAGCCUCAGCGGGGAGCACAUGACAUCGAUGCCAUCACUGAGCUCAAGAUGGUGCCUUGCAAUGUUCUCUUCAAUACAUCAAUGUCACUUCCAAAGCGGAGUCCCUCCUAGAGGAUAGUCUCUAUUAUCAUAAGGGCGAGUGUCCAACUUGCUCUACAUAAUACAAUGAUGCCUUUAUUAGUAUCUUGUGCGGGUUAUCAGAGACAAGAACACAAUCUUGGAGUACAUGGACAUCAACGCUGAAGGUGUCGGCAGCAAUGACCUGAGUCUCUAGAUGAAGCUUUUGUGGCCAGCAAUGAAAACUGCUUAAAGAUCACAGAUUUGAGAAGGCUUGUUCAUGCUGGAUUGCUAAGGCCUAUGCUCCAGGUGAUAUUUUUAAUUGUUUUUCUUGCAAUCUGAAAACAUUAUCUUCUUAAUCUGUUGUAGUUAACACAAAGGAUUAUUCUGUCUAACAUAUACUUUGCUUGGGAAGUUAAUAAGCCAAGCCUUCAAUUUUGUUUUGGUUUUCAGAGCUUUAGCGUCUGAAUGCAUUCUAGAUCGGGGCCCUUGAUGUGUGUUUUAAUUGUCAGCUUCCUUCUUGGAAGUGCAUGCUCCGUUGAGGCAUGUACCAUUUACAAUGAUAUAAAUUGAAAAGCAAGUUCCAUGUUUGUAUUAAAUGUCAACUUUUCAACAUUUUCAUUUCAUUUUAUCCUUUUUAUGCUCCAUUAUUCCGGUGGAAAUGAAGCACACCCCUCCCUGCAUCAUGUAUCAUGUUUCUCAAGGUUAUCCUGGUCCAAUUUGCUUUGUUUGCACAUACGUACACAACUUCGGUGGCAUGCAAAUGCUUACUUAUUUGACUUCCUUGGUUAGUGUCUGAUUAUUUAUUUGAUAGCACUAUGUUCUAAAAUAAUCAUGUAUAGGCCUCUGUUUCAAAGAGGCAAACAAAUUGUAUUUUAAGUGUUGCUUAUCUCAAGGUGAAUACAAGAAUACAACACUGGAGAGGUGUAUGCACACAAGAGCUUCUUUGUUCUCUUCUAAUUGGCUGCCAUGUGCAGCCUGCAGGUCUAAGCUAAUGAAAGCAUGGACUUCAACAUUUAAGUGAUGAGGCAGCUAAGUGUACAUAAGUCAAAUUCAACACAUUAAGUCUGAGUAGGUAUUUUUGGUAUUUCUUCUUGUAAAGUUGGUGAAUUGCCAUUGCAAGAAGGUAAUUUUUCGCCUUUUCACAUGUUCAAGCAUAUGUGUGUAGAUUAAAAGUUCUGUUGUGCCUUUUGAGAUACAAGGCAUGGUUUAUGUAAAUUUUAGUUUCCUUCAGUGACAUAUUAAUAGAUAUGUAUGGGUUGUCACCCUACUUUUCAAAUCAAUUUGUGUAUUUGAGAUGCCACAUUUUUGAUUAGUAGUUGUUCAGAGAACUAGAUGUUUGCCCUAGAUAAUAUUUGUUAUUGUUUAAUAUUUCUGAAUCUCUGCUGGAAUUCUAACCCUCAAUUAAUAGCAAGGUGUGCCGAUUGAUAAAUAGUGUUGUGUUUGGUCCGUGUCUAGCAGUUGGCAUAUUGACCUAUAUUUUUCCUAUAAUAAUGUCCAUAAUUUGCAUUCAGCUGAUAUUAGAUUUGGCUAAAAGAUAAAGAGACAUAUAUAGGAAUGUUGGUUGCAAACUUACCUCUUUCUAUUGUGUUGUUGGCUUUUAGGAUAGGUUGAGGAGAGUUGCCAAUGCACGAAGGUAAAAUUUCCCAUAUUAGGAGGCAAUCAGUGCAUGACUUAAUUUAAGAAUAUAUAGGUGUUCAUGCUCAUGGUUGUGCUGCCCGUUGGCACUAAAAUGUCUAGAACAUCAUUGACCUACCUAUUUGUGCUGUUUAGUCAUGUAGCAUGUAUGUGAAUUAUUAACGGACUAAUGAAUUUGUUCAUAACAAUUGACGUUUCUACCUGGAACUUCUGAUUUUAGCAAAAUGAUUGCUCUUUACCCAUGAUUAUUACCAUUUGAUCGUAAGAUAGUUCACAUAUUCUAAUAGGUAAUUACAUAAUUUUAGUUCGCCCAUAUACCCUGAUUGUAUAUAUCAGCAAUUACUUUAUUUUUGACUACACAAAUUGAGCUUUAUAUUUCCUUUCCGGUGUGCCAAAACCUCAUGCACUGCACCAUGCUUCAAUUGCCUUGGGUUUUCGUUGCUUCUUUUGUGUGUUUGUCCUCAAAUUUUGGAAGAGGCGGGCUCAAGUGUGAUUGUAGUAACAAAUCAUUGGUGACCGAGCGGAGUUUGAUAGGUUGCAAAUGCAUGUUCUUUUGAAAUUCAUAAAUAAAUUCUGAAUGUUACCAACUGCAAGGCAAUUGAAUACUAAUAAUUGAUGCAGUCUGAUGCAGUCUGCUCGGUGUUCUUUUUUGGUAGGAGAGAAAAAAUUGGUGUCUUUGACACACUUGGGAUUUACGGAUCGGUUAUGCCAUGGUUGGAUGUGAAUGGGACAUUGUACAUCCAAAUUUUGUUUGGUUGAUCAGAAUAUUUGUCCGUUUGGCUGUCUUAAUGCAAUCCCAUUCGCAUAAAUUUGGCAAACAUCAGCAAAGAAUUCAGUGGCAGGGAGUGUUUGCCAUAGUGGAAACGAAGCAAAAAUUGGACGGAGCUCACAAUUUUGCUACUACCUUACUAAUAGCUUUGUCAGGAUUAAUAUUGGUGCCAAGGCCACCAGCUCUGCAAAGAAAGCAAGGCAGUAGCUCUUCCAUGCCCUAGGUUGGGUGGGUACAUACGGGUAUUUUUGUGUGUUCCACUUGCUUCUCAAGCUCGAUGUGCCGCUAGGAGGUUGUGUUGCUGAAGGGAGCUUCUUCACUAUAUCACAUUGCAGCAGUGGUCUAGCCAUCCAGUCUCAAGAUCGUACCUUGGCACACUCUUGGGCAUGCACCUGAUGUAUUUUAUGCAUGUUUGCAAGGCAAGACUUUGACACUUGAAGAAUUACGUCAAGCCAAUGUCAAUACCAAUCCCCUUAUUUACGUCCCUGAACAAAUGGACUCCUAUGCGUUGUAGAUAUCAUCGUUGGCCCAACGGGCGAUGACUCUACUUGAUAUUCAUCGCUGCAUACCUUACUCACGUAAGCUAAAUGACCAAAGCUUUCUAUAUGAUGGACCUCUGCCUAUGUAGCUUUGUUUCAUAAAAGCAAUGUAAAUAAGCUAUCAUGAACUGAUAUCAUACCUUUCUUAUAUAUGCUAUGUAUGAACUUCAUAUCUAAA
Long non-coding RNA from Triticum aestivum (bread wheat), 3748 nucleotides. RefSeq lists it as uncharacterized. Lineage: Eukaryota; Viridiplantae; Streptophyta; Magnoliopsida; Poales; Poaceae. The record is from RefSeq and is a predicted model, not a curated record. The transcript has 9 exons.